RNAcentral lists this ribosomal RNA (460 nucleotides) under uncultured bacterium. RNAcentral's name for it is "partial 16S ribosomal RNA". It matches the Rfam family "Bacterial small subunit ribosomal RNA", at positions 338 to 795 of the family's 1533-position model. The record is from RNAcentral.
CCUACGGGAGGCAGCAGUGAGGAAUAUUGGUCAAUGGACGCAAGUCUGAACCAGCCAUGCCGCGUGCAGGAAGACGGCUCUAUGAGUUGUAAACUGCUUUUGUACGAGGGUAAACUCAGAUACGCGUGUUUUUCUGCAAGUAUCGUACGAAUAAGGAUCGGCUAACUCCGUGCCAGCAGCCGCGGUAAUACGGAGGAUUCAAGCGUUAUCCGGAUUUAUUGGGUUUAAAGGGUGCGUAGGCGGUCGGAUAAGUUAGAGGUGAAAUCCCGCGGCUCAACGUCGGAAUUGCCUCUGAUACUGUUAGGCUAGAGAGUAGUUGCGGUAGGCGGAAUGUAUGGUGUAGCGGUGAAAUGCUUAGAGAUCAUACAGAACACCGAUUGCGAAGGCAGCCUACCAAGCGACGUCUGACGUUGAGGCACGAAAGCGUGGGGAGCAAACAGGAUUAGAUACCCGGGUAGUC